RNAcentral lists this ribosomal RNA (366 nucleotides) under uncultured bacterium. Its description in RNAcentral is "bacterial SSU rRNA". It matches the Rfam family "Bacterial small subunit ribosomal RNA", at positions 28 to 399 of the family's 1533-position model. The record is from RNAcentral.
GACGAACGCUGGCGGCGUGCUUAACACAUGCAAGUCGAACGGUAAGGCCCUUCGGGUACGACGAGUGGCGAACGGGUGAGUAACACGUGGGUGAUCUGCCCUGCACUUCGGGAUAAGCCUGGGAAACUGGUCUAAUACCGGAUAGGACCAUGGACUUCACGGUUUGUGGUGGAAAGCUUUUGCGGUGUGGGAUGGGCCCGCGGCCUAUCAGCUUGUUGGUGGGGUAAUGGCCUACCAAGGCGACGACGGGUAGCCGGCCUGAGAGGGUGUCCGGCCACACUGGGACUGAGAUACGGCCCAGACUCCUACGGGAGGCAGCAGUGGGGAAUAUUGCACAAUGGGCGCAAGUCUGAUGCAGCGACGCCG